AUGUUUCUGUGUGUACAGCAAAGAGUUUAUUUUAUAAACCUUUAUGCUUUUCUGUUCAAUGUGUGUUUACAGUCUGCAGUCCAUGAGGACCUGCUGAUAUCCGGUGUUGCUGACGGGAGAGACUGGACCUCUGAAGCGGCUGGUCACAAACCCUGGCCCCGGAUCAGAACCCUGGAUCAGGAGCCGUCGCUCUUCCUUCCCGAGUCGGAACCAGGACCCAACCACGAGGGACAGCGACUCCAGCACCACGCAGAACACAACCAGUGGACAGGUGGACUGAACAACCUCAGUCCUGGUGGUCAUCAGAGAGACAGAGGCUCCAGCCAGCAGCUCAGACCCUUCUCUUCACAUUCUCAGUGCAGGGAUGGAGCAGGGCCUGGGGCUGAAAGAGAUAGACCCUCCUGUUCCUAUGAUACAAACACCACUGUAUCCAUGAUAAACAGAGCAGGUCACCCUGGGCUUCAGCCUUCACAGAGAGUGGUGGGAGACCCAUCUGGUGGGAGUCUAACAGGAAGUCUGUCUUCUCCUUCAGGGUCUUGUCUAAUGCCUGGUGACUGGGUUCAUAGAAAGCCUGGGCCUGGGUAUAGCCUUCCUCAUCUACCUCAUGGUUACCCCACCAAUACAGGCCGGGUCAGGAUUGGCAUUCACCACGAGAGUUACCUAGCCUAUAACACAGCACACAAUCCCAACAACACCCAAACAAUGGCUAGAGGUCAAGGAGGGAGCUCAAAUUCUAACCACUUGAGGGUGGUGGCUCCUGCUUCUACCUCCUCUGGUGUCAUUGAGUCACAACGUGGGAGGCCGAGCAUUAGGUCGGACGCCGACAAGCCGUACGCCUGCCCCACCUGUGGAAAGCGCUUCGCUGAGGCAAACUAUGUGAAGAGGCACCAGACAGUUCACACCAAUGAGAGGCCCUUCAAGUGCAAACUAUGUUACAAGAGCUUCUCCUUCCUGACUAACCUGAUCAGACAUAGGAGUGUCCACAAAGGGGAGAAAUCGUAG
RNAcentral lists this long non-coding RNA (1002 nucleotides) under Oncorhynchus mykiss (rainbow trout). RNAcentral's name for it is "lncRNA (ENSOMYG00000062719.1)". Lineage: Eukaryota; Metazoa; Chordata; Actinopteri; Salmoniformes; Salmonidae. The record is from RNAcentral.